This is an RNA transcript of Amborella trichopoda, 2556 nucleotides long. It is a transcript of the gene named ribulose-1,5 bisphosphate carboxylase/oxygenase large subunit N-methyltransferase, chloroplastic, with no coding region annotated. The record is from RefSeq and is a predicted model, not a curated record. Lineage: Eukaryota; Viridiplantae; Streptophyta; Magnoliopsida; Amborellales; Amborellaceae.
GCUUCAGUAGUUCGGACAUUCCUUCCCCCCAUUGCAGGGGAGCUCCAAGCCUCCCCUGAAAACCCUAAAUGUCGCAUUGGAACUCCCAUUAAAAACCCUAAUUUCUUGCACCUCAAGCUCGAGUUUUCUCUGUAAUGGUCAGGUGAAGGUUUGCAAGAUUUUCGUGGAGUCAAAUGCCUGAGUUUUGAUCAUAAAGGGACGAAUGGACAUGGAUCGCUGAGUGGAAUGCAGAAAUGUUGUCCUCGACAAGGUUUGGCGCUGCGUUCUUGCCAAGACGGGCCACUGUUCUUUUGAGUGUUCAGUUUAGUUUUGGGAACUCUGCUAAGGUUUUGCCUUGCUCAACAAAUGAAUGUGAUGAAUUCUUGCCAUGGUUGGAGAGGAAGGCAGGCAUUGAAGUUUCCUCGGUGCUUUCUAUAGGAAGUUCAACUCAUGGAAGGUCACUAUUUGCUUCAAGGUGUAUACAUUCUGGAGAUUGCAUCUUGAAGAUUCCUUACAGCGUUCAAUUAAGAUCAGAUAACAUCCUGCCAGAAAUUCAGCGUUUCUUGGGAGAUGCUGCAAGCAGCCAUGCUCGACUUGCUUUGCUUAUUUUGUUUGAAGAAAAUCUGGGCCAGGCAUCUGAAUGGGAGCCAUAUAUAAGUUGUCUCCCUCAAAUGGGUAUGCUUCAUAGCACGGUAUUCUGGAGUAAAGAUGAACUUGAUAUGGUUCAGUGUAGUCCAGUAUAUCAAGAGACUAUCCAUCACAAGGCUUGCAUAGAGAAGGAUUUCAUAGCUGUGCAACAGGUUGAUAUUAUCUUCUGGGCUCUUGGACACCUCCCUCAUUACUGCAGAGAUGUGACCUUCGAGAAAUUUAUGCAUGCAUAUGCUUUAGUGGAAUCACGCGCUUGGGGAACAUCAUCUAAAGAGCUUUCUCUGAUACCAUUUGCGGACUUUCUAAAUCAUGAUGGACGGUCUGAGGGAACCUUACUCAGCAAUGAGGAUAAAGAAAUAUCAGAGGUUAUUGCCGAUCGGGGCUAUUCUGCUGGUGAAGAGGUUUUAAUAAGUUAUGGAAAAUUUUCAAAUGCCUCGCUCUUACUCGACUAUGGUUUUACACUUCCAUAUAACACUCAUGACCAGGUUCAGAUUUGGUUUGGGAUGUCCCAGUUUGAGCCGUUUUACGAAAUGAAAUUGGAGCUUUUGGAUAAACACCAAAUAGCAGCUAUGGAUGAUGCAAAUGGAAUUGAGACAGUUGGGAAUCAUUUUACAAUUCGUGAAGUAAAAUCUGCGAGAGGAUGGGGAAGGGGCAUCCCACUGUCUCUGCGUGCUUUCGCUCGUGUUAUGACUGCUACUUCAUGCCAGGAGUUGGAAGAUUUGGUGAGAGAAGCUGCUCAAAAUGAUGGACGGCUUGCUCGGCGCCCGUUGAUGAAUAAGAUCAAGGAGAUUGAAGCCCAUCAAAUGUUACUUGAAAGAAUCGAGACUCUGAUGCAGGGAUAUUCUCCCUGCAUUUUGGUAGUCUUUUUACUUUUAUUGUGUUUACGUAUUCUAGUAGUGGGAGACUAUGUUGAUGGCUCCUAAAUUUUAAUUAUGUUUUUAGUAAUUGAAUUAUCCUUUUUCUCGGUAUUUAGAAGGUUCCAAAGUUCAAACUAAUUUUGAGUUCAAACUAAUUUUGAGAUUCAGGUUUUAAAAAAGAAGAGAGAAAAACAAGGAAAGCCAUUUUCAUUGGUCUAAGUUUGGGUUGUGUUGACCCAACGUUUCUAAUUAUCAAAUGUGUAGUGAUUAAAGAAUUGUUAAAUUGAGGAAACAUAUAUUAGAUAUUUGCUGAUGUUCUAAGUGGAAUAAUUAAGCUCAAUUAUUUCUGAUUUGUCAGAAGACAAAAUGAUAAUAAUGAUCAUCAUCAUUAGAGUCUUAUGUCAACUAUUUGGGGUUGGCUACAUGAAUUCUAUUAUACUAUUCUGCUUUAUCAAGGGUCAUACCUUUAGUAAGAACAUAAAUCUCCAUAUCUUUUCUCACUACUUUCAUCCAUAUCUUUUUGGGUCUUCCUCUUACCCUUUUAGAGUUCCAUUUGAAUCAAAUCACACCUCCGAACCGGUGCUGUAUUGGGUCUACACUACCUAUGAUCAACCCUCUUAAGUCUACUUUCCUUCCCUCAUCUUAUCACCUAUUGGAAUCACCUUUAAAUUCUCUCGAAUAUAUUCAUUCCAAAUUCUUUCUUUUCUUGUCUUACUACUCAUCCAUCUCAACAUUCUCAUCUCUACAACACUCAUCCUAUGGGUAUAUCAAAAUUCAAAAUUAUAAGACAAAAUAAUAGAUGUCAAAGUUCUCUGAGCAUGUUAGAACUCCUCCAGUUUAGCUCUCCAACUUCUCAAUCGCUUAUUUGUGCUUAUAAAAGUGUUGAUCCCUCCAUAAAGCAAGUUGUCAUCUCCUGAAGCUUGAAUGACAGAGAGAGAGGGGAGGAGGGGGAAGCAAAGGUGGUGGUAUUUUGGCAAUCAAAAUUUUCUUUGUCCAUGCAGUUGAAGAAUACGUGUACUGAGAACAGCCAACUUGAAAUGCGGAGAAAGAUGGCAAUUGAUCUUCUUUCAGG